This 200-nucleotide unclassified non-coding RNA is filed under the name soil metagenome. RNAcentral's name for it is "partial contains internal transcribed spacer 2 and large subunit ribosomal RNA". The record is from RNAcentral.
GGUUGCUGGUCACUCAGCUCCUCUCAAAUGCAUUAGCUGGAACCUUAUGUGUAUCUCCGGUGUGAUAAUAUCUACUCCGUCUGAUCACAAAGUUGAAGUUGCUUGCGACUGAGACUACUAGGAUCUGCUUCUAAUCGUCCUACUCAGGACAAUCAUUGACAUCUGACCUCAAAUCAGGUAGGACUACCCGCUGAACUUAA